RNAcentral lists this ribosomal RNA (751 nucleotides) under uncultured bacterium. RNAcentral describes it as "bacterial SSU rRNA". It matches the Rfam family "Bacterial small subunit ribosomal RNA", at positions 51 to 813 of the family's 1533-position model. The record is from RNAcentral.
ACACAUGCAAGUCGAACGGAAUUUACAUGAAGCCUAGCGAUUGUAAAUUUAGUGGCGGACGGGUGAGUAACGCGUGGGUAACCUGCCUUGUACUGGGGGACAACAGUUGGAAACGACUGCUAAUACCGCAUAAGCGCACAGCUUCGCAUGAAGCAGUGUGAAAAACUCCGGUGGUACAAGAUGGACCCGCGUCUGAUUAGCUGGUUGGUGAGGUAACGGCCCACCAAGGCGACGAUCAGUAGCCGGCCUGAGAGGGUGAACGGCCACAUUGGGACUGAGACACGGCCCAAACUCCUACGGGAGGCAGCAGUGGGGAAUAUUGCACAAUGGGGGAAACCCUGAUGCAGCAACGCCGCGUGAGUGAAGAAGUAUUUCGGUAUGUAAAGCUCUAUCAGCAGGAAAGAAAAUGACGGUACCUGACUAAGAAGCCCCGGCUAACUACGUGCCAGCAGCCGCGGUAAUACGUAGGGGGCAAGCGUUAUCCGGAUUUACUGGGUGUAAAGGGAGCGUAGACGGUUUUGCAAGUCUGAAGUGAAAGCCCGGGGCUUAACCCCGGGACUGCUUUGGAAACUGUAGGACUAGAGUGCAGGAGAGGUAAGUGGAAUUCCUAGUGUAGCGGUGAAAUGCGUAGAUAUUAGGAGGAACACCAGUGGCGAAGGCGGCUUACUGGACUGUAACUGACGUUGAGGCUCGAAAGCGUGGAGAGCAAACAGGAUUAGAUACCCUGGUAGUCCACGCCGUAAACGAUGAU